AGAGUUUGAUCCUGGCUCAGGAUGAACGCUGGCGGCGUGCUUAACACAUGCAAGUCGAACGGAAAUCAAAUGAUCGAGACUUCGGUUGAAGUUGUUGGAUUUUAGUGGCGGACGGGUGAGUAACGCGUGGGUAACCUGCCCUGUACAGGGGGAUAACACUUAGAAAUAGGUGCUAAAACCGCAUAAGCGCACGGUCUCGCAUGAGACAGUGUGAAAAACUCCGGUGGUACAGGAUGGACCCGCGUUGGAUUAGCUGGUUGGUGAGGUAACGGCCCACCAAGGCGACGAUCCAUAGCCGGCCUGAGAGGGUGAACGGCCACAUUGGGACUGAGACACGGCCCAAACUCCUACGGGAGGCAGCAGUGGGGAAUAUUGCACAAUGGGGGAAACCCUGAUGCAGCGACGCCGCGUGAAGGAAGAAGUAUCUCGGUAUGUAAACUUCUAUCCGCAGGGAAGAAAGUGACGGUACCUGACUAAGAAGCCCCGGCUAACUACGUGCCAGCAGCCGCGGUAAUACGUAGGGGGCAAGCGUUAUCCGGAUUUACUGGGUGUAAAGGGAGCGUAGACGGAGAGGCAAGUCUGAUGUGAAAGGCUGGGGCUCAACCCCGGGACUGCAUUGGAAACUGUUUUUCUUGAGUGCCGGAGGGGUAAGCGGAAUUCCUAGUGUAGCGGUGAAAUGCGUAGAUAUUAGGAGGAACACCAGUGGCGAAGGCGGCUUACUGGACGGCAACUGACGUUGAGGCUCGAAAGCGUGGGGAGCAAACAGGAUUAGAUACCCUGGUAGUCCACGCGGUAAACGA
This 800-nucleotide ribosomal RNA is filed under the name uncultured bacterium. RNAcentral's name for it is "bacterial SSU rRNA". It matches the Rfam family "Bacterial small subunit ribosomal RNA", at positions 8 to 809 of the family's 1533-position model. The record is from RNAcentral.